This is a non-coding RNA of Potamilus streckersoni, 79 nucleotides long. Lineage: Eukaryota; Metazoa; Mollusca; Bivalvia; Unionida; Unionidae. The record is from the annotation of a GenBank genome assembly.
GCCCAGACCGCUCGCUCUAAGUGGUUAGAGCGUCUGCCUCAGAUGCGGGAGGUCGCGGGUUCUAACCCCAGUCUGGUCA